UACGUAGGGAGCAAGCGUUGUCCGGAAUCAUUGGGCGUAAAGCGCGUGUAGGCGGCUGGCUAAGUCAGCUCUGAAAGCCCGGGGCUCAACCCCGGGAGGCGUGUGGAUACUGGUCAGCUCGAGUCCGGAAGAGGAGUGUGGAAUUCCUGGUGUAGCGGUGAAAUGCGCAGAUAUCAGGAGGAACACCAAUGGCGAAGGCAGCACUCUGGGACGGUACUGACGCUGAGACGCGAAAGCGUGGGGAGCAAACAGG
This 253-nucleotide ribosomal RNA is filed under the name uncultured bacterium. RNAcentral describes it as "partial 16S ribosomal RNA". It matches the Rfam family "Bacterial small subunit ribosomal RNA", at positions 524 to 776 of the family's 1533-position model. The record is from RNAcentral.